This 1488-nucleotide ribosomal RNA is filed under the name uncultured Bordetella sp. Its description in RNAcentral is "partial 16S-23S ribosomal RNA intergenic spacer". It matches the Rfam family "Bacterial small subunit ribosomal RNA". Lineage: Bacteria; Pseudomonadati; Pseudomonadota; Betaproteobacteria; Burkholderiales; Alcaligenaceae. The record is from RNAcentral.
GGUUCGAUUCGUCUGGAUUGAACGCUGGCGGAGAUGUUUUUCACAUGCAAGUCGAACGGCAGCACGACUUUAUCUGGUGGCGAGGUGGCGAACCGGGUGAGUAAUGUAUCGGAACGUGCCUAGUAGCGGGGACAACCACGAAAGUGGAAGCACACCGGGCAUACGCCCUUCGGGGGAAAGCGGGGGGACCUUUCGGGCCUCGCACUAUUAGAGCGGCCGACACCAGAUUAGCUAGUUGGUGGGGUAACGGGGCUCACCAAGGCGACGAUCCGUAGCUGGUUUGAGAGGAGACAUCUCCAGCCACACACUGGGACUGAGACACGGCCCAGACUCUACGGGAGGCAGCAGUGGGGAAUUUUGGACAAUGGGGGAAACCCUGGAUCCAGCCAUCCCGCGUGUGCGAUGAAGGCCUUCGUUGUAAAGCACUUUGGCAGGAAAGAAACGGCACGGGAUAAUACCCCGUGCAACUGACGGUACCUGCAGAAUAAGCACCUGGCUAACUACGUGCCAGCAGCCGCGGUAAUACGUAGGGUGCAAGUGUUAAUCGGAAUUACUGGGCGUAAAAGCGUGCGCAGGCGGUUCGGAAAGAAAGAUGUGAAAUCCCAGAGCUUAACUUUGGAACUGCAUUUUUAACUACCGAGCUAGAGUGUGUCAGAGGAGUGUGAAUUCCGCGUGUAGCAGUGAAAUGCGUAGAUAUGCGGAGGAACACCGAUGGCGAAGGCAGCCUCCUGGGAUAACACUGACGCUCAUGCACUUGAAAGGCGCGUGGAGCAAAUGGGUGAUUAGACACUGGUAGUCCACGCCCUUCUUAAACGAUGUCAACUAGCUGUUGGGGCCUUCGGGCCUUUGGUAGCGCAGCUAACGCGGUGAAGUUGACCGCCUGGGGAGUACGGUCGCAAGAUUAAAACUCAAAGGACGGGGACCCGCACAAGCGGUGGAUGAUGUGGAUUAAUUCGAUGCAACGGCGAACCCGACGUCUUGAUAUGUCAGAACCCUAGUGAUUUGGGAGUGCUCGCAAGAGAACCGAACACAGGUGCUGCAUGGCUACGUCAGCUCGUGUCGUGAGAUGUUGGGUUAAGUCCCCGCAAUUACAACCUCGCCAGCUGGGGGUUGCUACGAAAGGGCACUAUAAUGAGACUGCCGGUGACAAACCGGAGGAAGGUGGGGACGACGUCAAGUCCUCAUGGCCCUUAUGGGUAGGGCUUCACACGUCAUACAAUGGUCGGUGAUUGUGGAGGGUCGCCAACCCGCGAGGGGGAGCCAAUCCCAGAAACCCGAUCGUAGUCCGAUCGCAGUCUGCAACUCGACUGCGUGAAGUCGGAAUCGCUAGUAACUGCGGAUCAGUAUGUCGCGGUGAAUACGUUCCCGGUCUUGUACACACCGCCCGUCACACCAUGGAGUGGGUUUUACCAGGCGCAGUUAGCCUAACCGUAAGGAGGGCGAUUACCACGGUAGGAUUCAUGACUGGGGUGAAGUCGUAACAAGGUA